RNAcentral lists this long non-coding RNA (1207 nucleotides) under Elaeis guineensis (African oil palm). Its description in RNAcentral is "long non-coding RNA (EGUI_LNC052595)". Lineage: Eukaryota; Viridiplantae; Streptophyta; Magnoliopsida; Arecales; Arecaceae. The record is from RNAcentral.
AAGUGAGAGGAAGAGUGAGGUACUGGGGACAAUGGGGGUGAGGGAGGGAAACAUUAGUGCAGAGUUUUGUCAUAGGGUUGAAAGGGAGCCAAUUGAAAGGGGGCUCAAGAAUGGUGGUGGAGAUUGAUGAUACUGAGUGUUUUUGGUGGUUGGCUAGGUUGAGAGUGAGGUGAUUAAGGGAGCAAGUAUGGGGGAGGGGCAAGGGUUAGAUGGAGUAUAGUGUUAUAGUGUUGGAUUUAAUGAGAGGCAUGUGUACUGUGGCAUGGGCAAGAAGGAUGGAUGAGGGUGAUCGGAGUUGGAGUUAGAUGGAUGAGACCAAUAGGGGCCUAUAAAAGGGUUGAUGAGGGUGAUGAGUUUGAGUUUUAGGUGUAGAAGGUUGUUUAGUUUAGGCUUGAAACAUAGUCAAGAAGGGCCAUGUUAAGUUUGAGUUUGAGUUUAUUCUCAAUCUUAACUUUCAAACAACCUUCAAACCUAUGUUGUGCAGGAUUUGUGACAUGAUGAAUCAAAUAAUUUAUUAUUUAAAAUGGUAGGAGAUAGAAAACAAUGGUUUAUUAUACAAAUACGGGAAGUGCAAAGGAGAAAGAAAUUAAAUUCAUCAACAAAAUUUUAAUAAAUAAUUUUCAAGUUUGACUUCAAACUCUUUCUAAAAAGCAUCAUUGGUAUCAAUUUAGAUGUCCCAUAAAAGUCAUAAAAUUUGGAACCCACUUAGUGCAUCAAUUAUGGAUGCAUAUCACAAGUCAAAAAUAUCCAAAGUUGAUUCUUAGUCAGGAUGGACCUAAUUUUACCCUUGUCCAUUUCUGUUUAGAUUUGGCAUGAUGGGAAAGUAAGAGAGGUAUUGUUGCUUCCUUACCAUUGGGCGAGAUUGAGAGAGGAAACAUAAGAAGAGAGGUCAAUAGAUCUGGGUUUAUUUUCUUCAUUUGGCUUAUACAUCAUCAAAUGCUCAAGAAAAGAUUUGAUAGUCUAAGGCAGGUCAGAAACCCAUGUCAUGUAUAGUUUUGGGAAAAGAAUGGGAUUGCAAUCUGCGUCACAUUGAUUUUGGUACGGGUGUUAGAUUUGGGUGUUUGCCUAACUGUUUUAUUCUAGAGGCAUUCUCCUGUGGACAUACCUAGGUGUUAUGGUCAAGGUCUGCAGUAUGAGGACCGGCACUUGUGCUGGUAGGUUGGCGGUAUAGUAUGUUGCCAUCCAUUCCUGCAUAAACCGACAAGGA